This 76-nucleotide transfer RNA is filed under the name Azonexus sp. RNAcentral's name for it is "tRNA-Met". It matches the Rfam family "tRNA". From Rfam's summary of the family: Transfer RNA (tRNA) molecules are approximately 80 nucleotides in length. Their secondary structure includes four short double-helical elements and three loops (D, anti-codon, and T loops). Further hydrogen bonds mediate the characteristic L-shaped molecular structure. tRNAs have two regions of fundamental functional importance: the anti-codon, which is responsible for specific mRNA codon recognition, and the 3' end, to which the tRNAs corresponding amino acid is attached (by aminoacyl-tRNA synthetases). tRNAs cope with the degeneracy of the genetic code in two manners: having more than one tRNA (with a specific anti-codon) for a particular amino acid; and 'wobble' base-pairing, i.e. permitting non-standard base-pairing at the 3rd anti-codon position. Lineage: Bacteria; Pseudomonadati; Pseudomonadota; Betaproteobacteria; Rhodocyclales; Azonexaceae. The record is from RNAcentral.
CGCGGGGUGGAGCAGUUGGCAGCUCGUCGGGCUCAUAACCCGAAGGACGCAGGUUCAAGUCCUGCCCCCGCAACCA